CAAAGAAUAAGUGCACUUGAAUAUAACCAUGGCUGGGUGAGGCCGGUAUAAAUGUCUAUUCUGCACAAGGUACAGACAAGUCUGGUGGGAUCCAUGACUGGUUCAUUUUAAUAAACAUGAGCUUGUCCACGUUGGCCAUGGACAGGCGGCUGCGCUUGUCUGUGAUAACCUCGUGCUGAUCGCACGUCCCCGUGACGUGACACCGACAACGCAUUCAGAUAUCUGCCCUAUCAACUUUCGAUGCAAUUUUCCGCGCCUACCAUGGUGACCACGGGUAACGGGGAAUCAGGGUUCCAUUCCAGAGAGGGAGCCUGAGAAACGGCUACCACAUGCAAGGAAGGCAGCAGGCGCGCAAAUUACCCACUCCCGACACGGGGAGAUAGUGAUG
Non-coding RNA from Pelobates cultripes (western spadefoot toad), 388 nucleotides. The record is from the annotation of a GenBank genome assembly. NCBI's taxonomy places the organism in Eukaryota, Metazoa, Chordata, Amphibia, Anura, Pelobatidae.